Molecule: ribosomal RNA, 660 nt
Filed under: Didymium minus
Lineage: Eukaryota; Evosea; Eumycetozoa; Physariida; Didymiaceae
Description: bacterial SSU rRNA
Rfam family: Eukaryotic small subunit ribosomal RNA
Source: RNAcentral
AACCUGGUUGAUCCUGCCAGUAGUGUAUGCUUCUCCUAAACNUUAGAGGACACCCGGGAGCUUGAGAGASACGACGCCUCUCUCUGAUCUGCCCCCGGCUCCKCAUACCAGUUGUAAACCAUAGCAAGCCAACCUUGGGAAGACCCGAUCAAAAGGGAUGACCCUUGGUUGAAUAAGGAUACCCAUGGUAAUUCUGAGGCUAAUACAAGUAUAUACCGACUUGGUCAACCGGGAAACUGGAAGGCUGGGGGUCGUGUGAAGCUUAACUGCAACACCGACCUAGGAAACGAUGCACAAUCAGACCACCACACAAACGGUCUCGUUCUGAGGCAAGUACCUUCGGGGAAAGCCAAAGGGCUUGACUGGGUGGCUCUUGCUUUGUGCUUCUGACCUAUCAACUCGUUGGCAGCGUAAGGGACAUGCUAUGGUUACAACGGGUACAGAGGAUAAGGGUUCGAUCCUGGAGAGUGGGCCUGAGAGAUUGCUCACACUUCUAAGGAAGGUAGCAGGCGCGCAACGUUCCCAAUGGGUAACACCUGAGGGCGUUAGGGGACAUAUGAAUGCCUGCCAUUAGGUGGGCAAUUCAAAUGGGACUGAUGCAAACAGCCCAUCNAGUAACAAUUAGAGGACACUCGGGAAGCUUGAGAGUUUUUUCANCAU